GCGGGCGUGGCGGAAUUGGCAGACGCACCAGAUUUAGGUUCUGGCGUGGAGACACGUGAAGGUUCAAGUCCUUUCGCCCGCACCA
This 85-nucleotide transfer RNA is filed under the name Phoenicibacter congonensis. RNAcentral describes it as "tRNA-Leu". It matches the Rfam family "tRNA". Rfam says of the family: Transfer RNA (tRNA) molecules are approximately 80 nucleotides in length. Their secondary structure includes four short double-helical elements and three loops (D, anti-codon, and T loops). Further hydrogen bonds mediate the characteristic L-shaped molecular structure. tRNAs have two regions of fundamental functional importance: the anti-codon, which is responsible for specific mRNA codon recognition, and the 3' end, to which the tRNAs corresponding amino acid is attached (by aminoacyl-tRNA synthetases). tRNAs cope with the degeneracy of the genetic code in two manners: having more than one tRNA (with a specific anti-codon) for a particular amino acid; and 'wobble' base-pairing, i.e. permitting non-standard base-pairing at the 3rd anti-codon position. Lineage: Bacteria; Bacillati; Actinomycetota; Coriobacteriia; Eggerthellales; Eggerthellaceae. The record is from RNAcentral.